AUGGCUUCAUUUCCAGGGGUCACCUUUCCCGAGUCUCAUGUUGCUGGUCUGCUGGAGGUCUCUGAAUUAACACUCUAUCCGGUGUUGUUUGAAGAAGAUGCAAUGCCUAAGCUUGAGGUGCUACAGUUAGGUAGGUGCAACAUAUUUGGGCACGACGCAGAGGUGAAUGCAUUCUCCCGGUUGUCAGUCCUCACAAGACUCAAGGAAAUUCGGUUGGAUAGUCAUCUCCAAGAAAGUGUGAAGGAAGAGGCGGGGAGGCAGGUAGCGGAGCAUAUGAAGUACCUACCCAACAUUAUUGACUCGUGA
Molecule: ribosomal RNA, 306 nt
Filed under: Triticum aestivum (bread wheat)
Lineage: Eukaryota; Viridiplantae; Streptophyta; Magnoliopsida; Poales; Poaceae
Description: partial small subunit ribosomal RNA
Source: RNAcentral